RNAcentral lists this transfer RNA (73 nucleotides) under Schistocerca americana (American grasshopper). RNAcentral describes it as "tRNA-Thr". It matches the Rfam family "tRNA". From Rfam's summary of the family: Transfer RNA (tRNA) molecules are approximately 80 nucleotides in length. Their secondary structure includes four short double-helical elements and three loops (D, anti-codon, and T loops). Further hydrogen bonds mediate the characteristic L-shaped molecular structure. tRNAs have two regions of fundamental functional importance: the anti-codon, which is responsible for specific mRNA codon recognition, and the 3' end, to which the tRNAs corresponding amino acid is attached (by aminoacyl-tRNA synthetases). tRNAs cope with the degeneracy of the genetic code in two manners: having more than one tRNA (with a specific anti-codon) for a particular amino acid; and 'wobble' base-pairing, i.e. permitting non-standard base-pairing at the 3rd anti-codon position. RNAcentral also lists the same sequence under 1 other name. Lineage: Eukaryota; Metazoa; Arthropoda; Insecta; Orthoptera; Acrididae. The record is from RNAcentral.
UCCCGGAUGGCGCAGUGGUUAACGCAACAGUCUAGUAAGCAGGAGAUCCUGGGUUCGAAUCCCAGUCCGGCAC